Molecule: ribosomal RNA, 200 nt
Filed under: uncultured bacterium
Lineage: Bacteria
Description: partial 16S ribosomal RNA
Rfam family: Bacterial small subunit ribosomal RNA
Source: RNAcentral
GACGAACGCUGGCGGCGUGCCUAAUGCAUGCAAGUCGCACACAGCACCUUCGGGUGUUGAGUGGCGCACGGCUGAGGAUACCGUGGGUACGUGCCCUCCAGUGGGGGAUAACAGCCCGAAAGGACUGCUAAUCCCGCAUACGCUCACCCCCGGGUGAGGAAAGCCGCAAGGCGCCGGAGGAGCGGCCCGCGUCCCAUCAG